UGGGGAAUUUUGGACAAUGGGCGAAAGCCUGAUCCAGCAAUGCCGCGUGUGUGAAGAAGGCCUUCGGGUUGUAAAGCACUUUUGUCCGGAAAGAAAUGGCUCUGGUUAAUACCUGGGGUCGAUGACGGUACCGGAAGAAUAAGGACCGGCUAACUACGUGCCAGCAGCCGCGGUAAUACGUAGGGUCCAAGCGAUAAUCGGAAUUACUGGGCGUAAAGGGUGCGCAGGCGGUUGUGCAAGACCGAUGUGAAAUCCCCGAGCUUAACUUGGCAAUUGCAAUGGCGACUGCACGGCUAGAGUGUGUCAGAGGGGGGUAGAAUUCCACGUGUAGCAGUGAAAUGCGUAGAGAUGUGUAGGAAUACCGAUGGCGAAGGCAUCCCCCUGGAAUAACACUAACGCUCAUGCACGAAAGCGUGGGGAGCAAACAGG
Molecule: ribosomal RNA, 429 nt
Filed under: Bacillota bacterium
Lineage: Bacteria; Bacillati; Bacillota
Description: Firmicutes bacterium partial 16S ribosomal RNA
Rfam family: Bacterial small subunit ribosomal RNA
Source: RNAcentral